GACGACAAAAAAGCAACCCUGGUUUUCCGAUUUGUCAAUCUAUCACCCGACCCGGCUGCCGUUUGAUUUCCUCCAGGCUCCGUCCUCUCCGGCGACAGCAGCUGCAGAAGUUCGAUUCCCUCCGCCCUGCGGCCUCUCCAGUGACAGUCAACAGCAGCUUCACGCCUUCAUCAGUUCUCCUCCUCCUAUUCUCUUUCCCAAGCUCCCCGCCGAUUCACCUCUCUCUUCGUCUUCAACACGGUAUAACUUAAUUCACUUCUUCCUUAUCCCACUUUACAGCUAACAGUUUCGAUUCACUUCUAUCCGCAUCUUUCAGUUGAUUAGUUUGCUCAAUUGAUAUUGACUAUGUUUCAGUCUUUAGCUCGAGGCUUACUAAACGACGCCCUGGUUUUCGAAUUAAACGACGUCCUACAUUCAUAAUGAUCUAAACGUCCAUUCCGUAAAAAUGAAAAACAUGAAAAACUUACUAGUUCAAUCCAAAAAACCCUUAUUUAGUAAGUUUUAGUUGGUCGAAAACACUCUCCACGAACCACGGCUCAAAAUUGAAAAGGUACGAAAUUGAAUUUUGGAUCUGAAAAAAAAACAAUUCGGACUGACCAACCGGACAGACAGGCGUUCCAUCCGGUCAGACCAUCUGGACUGAAAUCGGUUCUGUCUGAGUGGUCUGACCGGAUGGAAAGUCGGUCCGUCCGGUUGGUCCGUCCAAUUUUUUACGGUACUACAUUGGAAGCAUUGCAAACUAGCAACCCUGCGUUGUUAGCCUCAAACCAGCGCUUGGAACAUAUGUUCUAGAGGUUCAUAGAAAGGAAUCGGGAGGACCCACCGGAUCGAGAACGUUGAGGGGUUCUACUCCGACCACCCCAGCUGGUACCGCACUUACCAAAACUCGAUUUUCCCUACUUUGCAGGCACCGACCCUACUUCAUGGGUGAGAAAAUACAUUAAGCUUUUUACCAUUCAUCAAAUCCCUCCUAACCAACAAUUAGAGGUAGCAGCUCUGUUCUUGGAGGGUAGAGCUGAUAUUUGGUACUAGGGAUGGUUAGUAGAACAUCCAAACUUGCAAUGGGAAGUGCUAGGGUUUAGGGUUGAAGAGGUUUGGUGACCCCUCUUGUGUUAAUGUGGUGGGAUGUUUCAAUAAACUGAAACAAGCUGGCUUAGUAUUGGAGUACUAGGAGAAGUUUGAGAAUUUAAGAUCCAGAAUACUCAAGCUAAACCCUACAUUAACAAAACCCUAUUUGUGCAAAGUUUUAUUAGUGGUUUGGAUGAAGAAGUGCAUCCUGUUUUACUUAUGCUGAAACUAGUAGAAGUCACGGAUGCCUUCCUGCAAGCAAGAAUGCAAGAGGCUUCCAUUGAGGCAAGAAGGAAGAAGUUCUGUUCCACUUCAAAGUGGAACUCAAGAGAAAACUCUAUUAAACGAAAGGCAGGAAAGCAACCUUUGCUGAUACUAGUUGGUACUAGAGCUAGCCAUAUGUUCUUAAGUCAGAAGUAUGCUGUGGAGCUCAGGCUAGAAUUGUAAGCAACAAUACUAAUGAGAGUUAAAAUGGCCAAUGGGGACCUCUUGCUAAGCACUAAAGAAUGCCAAGGGUUUACUUGGAUGAUGCAAGGGGAGAAAUUAAAUUUUAAUGUAAGGAUACUGCCUUUGAAGAGAAUGAUCUGAUCUUGGGAUUCAACUGGCUGAAAACAGUUAGCCCUAUUCAGAUGGACUUUGAGAAGCUUAAUUUCGCAUUUGAAUGGGAAGGUAAACCUCUAGUGCUACAAGGGACAAUAGAGGCAAGCCAGUGUGAAUCCAUGAGUGGAGAAGAGCUCUAUAGAAGCGUAAUGAAGGGUUAAGUGUCUAGUCUGAUUGGCUACAUCUUACAAGUGGAGGAGACCACUAUGGAAACUCCCAUUCCUGCAGAAAUGCUAUCCAUACUAAAGGAGUACAACGAUGUCUUUGAGGUACCAAACUCCCUCUCUCCUACUAGAGGGUAUGAUCAUAUUAUUCCAUUGGAACCUAAUGUAAAGCUAGUCGACUCGAGACCCUAUAGAUACACCCCUGCCCAAAAGGAUGAAACUGAGAAAUAGGUCAGGGAUAUGAUGAAGAACCAUAUCGUUCCAGAGAGCUACAGUCCUUUUGCUUCACUUGUGCUCUUGGUCAAAAGGAAGGAUGGAGGUUAGAGGUUUUGUGUAGAUUACAGGCAGCUCAACAAGCUUACCAAAGUGGAUUUAAGGGCUAGUUACCAUCAAAUCAUAAUGGAGCUGACAGAUCAACACAAGACAUCUUUUAGAACGUAUCAUGGACACUUUGAGUUUAGAGUGAUGCCAUUUUGCUUACCAAUUCUCCAGCAACCUUCCAGGCACUGAUGAACAAGGUAUUGGCACCUUAUUUGAGGAAGUUUGUAUUAGUGUUCUUUGAUGAUAUCUUCAUUUACAAUCAUGAUCUAGAAACUCAUCAAGAACACAUCAGGAAGACACUACAUGUACUGAGGACUCACCAACUUUAUGUUAAGCUAUCGAAGUGCUCAUUUGCAUAGACCAGUGUGGCGAAUUUGGGACACGUAAUCAGUAGAGAAGGGGUGGCCAUAGAUCCAGAAAGUGAAAGUUAUGGCUGAGUGGCCCAUUCCCACCAAUCUAAAGGGACUCAGAGGGUUCCUAGGCCUUAUUAGCUACUAUAGGAAAUUUGUUGAAGGGUAUGAAGUAAUCAGUAAGCCUCUCACUGAUCUACUCGAGAAAGAUGGUUUCAUUUGGACUGAUAAGGCAACUCAAGCUUUCAACAAUUGAAAGCUUGCAUGACUAAAGCUCCUGUUUUGGCUCUACCAAAAUUUUAGCUAUGACUCACACUGGAAUGGAUGCUUCUGGGAUCAGAAUUAGAGCUGUAUUGACUCAAUAGGGGAGGCCAAUAACAUAUAUAAGUCAUGCCCUGAGUGCUAGGAACCAAGGGCUUUCUGCCUAUGAAAAGGAAUACAUAUAUGUCUUAUUUGUAGUGAACAAAUGGACGCAUUAUUUGGAGGGAAGGCCUUUCAUCAUUCUCACGGAUCAUGAAAGCCUUAAACAUUUUCUUGAGCAGAAGAUCCACACCAACAUACAAAAGAAAGGCUUGGUAAAGCUGCUAGGGUUGGAUUUUCAAAUUACGUAUAGGCAAGGAAGGCUUAACAAGGCAGUUGAUGCCCAGUCUAGAAAAUAUGAAGAGCUAAGUUGUGACACCAUAUCAACAGCCUUACCUGACCAGAUGCUCAGCAUUAAAGAGGGUUUUGUUGGUGAUGUUGAGGUUCAAAACCUGAUAAUUGGAAGUGAUGUUACCAACGGGGGGACCUCAGCACUACUCUUAUGCAGAAGGGGUGCUAAGGUAUAAGGGCCUAAUAUAUGUUGGCAGUAGCGGAACACUCAGAGACUAGCUGCUAACCUUUUUUCAUGCUUCACUGAUUGGAGGAAUUCUAGAGACCAAUCCACUUAUCAACAUGUCAAAAGGUACUUUGAUUGGCCAAGAAUGAAAGCUAUGGCGAUGGACUAUGUAGCAAAGUGUGCUAUAUGUCAGCAAUGCAAAGCAGAAUAUUUUCCUUAUCCUGGACUGGUGUAACCAUUGCCUAUCCCAUAUCAAGCAUGGAAGCACAUAUCUAUGGAUUUCAUAGAAAGAUUACCAAAAUCAGGAACUAAGUAGGCCAUCCUGGUAGUGGUAGACAUGCUUACUAAGUAUGGUCAUUUCCUUUCACUGCCUCACCCCUACACAGCUGUGACAGUAGCUCAAUUGUUUAUGGAAAACGUUUUUAAACUCCAUGGGAUGCCUACCACUAUUGUAUCUCACAGGGAUACCAUAUUCACAAGAACAUUUUGGAAAGAGAUGUUCAGACUGCAGGGAGCAAAGCUUCUCUACUCCACUGCCUACCAUCCCCAAACAGAUGGUCAAAUAGUGAGGCUUAAUAGAUGUCUGGAAGAUUAUCUAAACUGUAUGGUUUAAGGAGCUCCUGGAAAAUGGCAACAGUGGCUCCCUUUGGCGGAGUGGUGGUAUAAUACCAAUUUCCACUCCAGUUUGAGGCUCACCCCUUUCGAAGCCUUGUAUGGUUACCCUCCUUUAGUGUUUGAUCUGCAGAAUCCCAUUCCACCUCGAUUGCUGCAAUAGAGGAAAAACUCCAGCACUAGCAUAAGAUCAUUGAUCAACUCAGGGAUAGUCUUGCAAGGGCAUAGAACCACCAGAAGCAGCAAGUGGAUAAACACCGAUCAGAGAGCAGUUUCCAGGUGGGAGAUCAAGUGUAUCUGAAGAUGCACCCCUAUAAAUAGAAGUUAGUAGCGCAAAGGAAGAAUAUCAAGUUGUCGCCCCAUUUUGUGGGCCAUUAGCAGCGGUCAAGAAGGUGGGAGAAGUGGCUUAUGAGCUACAGUUACAGAUUCUACAAGUAUACAUCCUGUUUUCCACAUAUCAUUGUUGAAGAAAGCAGUUGGGGAUACAGUUGCAGUUAAUCCUAAUCUACUUGAGUUGGAUGGAAAUGGAGUGAUGAAGCAACUUCCAAUAGCUAUAUUGGCUAGAAGAUUCAUCAAUAAGAGGAACAAGCCUGUCAUUGAAGUGUUGGUAUAGUGGGAAAUCAAAGUGAAGCUGAUGCUAGCUAGGAAGAUUGGCAUCCAUUCAAAGAGAAAUUUCCAGAAUUCAAGGAUACCUAAAACUCCUUGAGACAAGUUGGAUUUUACAAUUAGGGAUUGUAACGAUUUAGACCUUGUUAUUGCUUUUUGUAAGUUUAGUGACUACACAGUUAAUUUUACCUAAAGCAUGAAACUUCCCCUUUCCAGCCGUUAUGUUAUCAUUAUUAUUGUAGCCGGAAACUGUCCUUGCUCUGCAAUGUUAUUUAGCUGCAGCUGCCUUUGGGGAACAUCAAUUAAUGAACUACCAUCCAAUCUUUGCUUGAAUAUCUCUCCCUCUCAACUCUUCCUCUUCCUCUCCUCUAUCUCUCUACCUAACCCUCUUUUCUUUUCUCUUCGAUUAAAUCUAUCUUGCCGGAACCUUACUAGGGACAUUACAAGUGGUAAUCAAAUCCAGGUUUUGGCAUAUACUAUGACAUAGAAAAACGAUACUUAAUCCACAGCUCUGGAGGAGCAACUUGUUAACCUAAAAAAUAUUCAACAGACCAACCACACAAAUCUCGAAGGAAUGGUAGACCGUAAUGGUACUACAUUGGAAGCAUUGUAGACUAGCAACCCUGCGUUAUAAGCCUCAAACCAGCGCUUGGAACAGAUGUUCCAGAGGUUCAUAGAAAGGAAUCAGGAGGACCCGCCAGAUUAAGAACGUCGAGGGGUUCUACUCCGACCAUACCAGCUGGUAGCACACUUACCAAACCUCGAUUUUCCCUACUUUUCAAAUGGACUAUUCUCUUUACCAUUCAUGAAAUCCCUCCUUCAUGGGUAAGAAAAUGGACUACGCUCUUUACCAUCAUGAAAUCCCUCCUAACCAACAAGUAGAGGUAUCAGCUUUGUUCCUAGAUGGUAGAGAAAAUAUUUGGUAUCAGGGAUGGCCAGCUGAAUGUUCAUACCUACAAUGGGAACGCCCAAACUUACAGUGAGAAUCCUACUGGGGACAUUAUAGUUUUCCUCUCUAAUCUCCUCCCUAUGGCGAUCUUCGCUGCCCAAGCUCCAAUUUUGCUUCCCCUCGAUCGAUCGGAAACUAGAUAACUACCCUUCUUGGCAGCAAAACAACAACGAAAAGAGACUCUCCCCUUCCAUUCACAUCUCUGCCCAGCUCGAUUUAUGUCAUAUGUGGUAACUAGACCUCUCUCCCAUUUGAUGGUAACGAGGCCCAUCAUAACCAUCUGGUCCAUCUGACGGCCCAAGGCCCACCUCGUCACCACAACUUUGACAUGACACAAAGCCCAUAACUUCAGUCCAGGUCCAAUUAAAGUGGCAACCUUCAUCUCAAACCGGAACCAAUUAAGGCUCAUCCUCAUCGUUGGAUUCAUCCGAUGGCCCAGAUAUCUCCAACCUUAAAAUUAUCAAUUCAAAGAGUUAACUUCUAUUCUGAUUGUCUUAGUCAACACGAUACUAAUCCUGAGCCUUGCAAGCCUUUAAUACUUGGUCAACUCCUCAAAUUAAUUAAAUUAAUUCAGUUUUCCAACUACCAACUUCUAUCUAUGAAGUAAGAUUUUAAUCAAACGAAAAUUUAAACCGAACCAGAAUUCAGGGUGUGAUAACUAUCCCCUCCUAUAAAAGGUUUUGUCCCGAAACCUAAACCUCACCCCACUGGGUGGAAAGAUUUGGCGCAACAGAGUUCAACCCUAGCCCUUACACCCUUACUUGGUAGUAAAACGAUCCUGACGUGUUGUCCUUCUCAAGGACUCAACCAUUCCACUCCUCGGAAAUGACCCAAGGUCAAAUCACAACCUUAUCCUAGUGGAUCGAUGGUGGUCGACCCCUCAACAUGCCUAACCAUAGCUUAUACCCCUAAAGAGAAACCUAGAGCUAAUUCCUUGCUUCCCAAAACUCCUUCAAGCUCGAAACUAAGAAUCUGCUCUCGACCGAGCCUAAAGUCCCAAACUAAGUUGGACACGCUUUGCUAACUUAAACUUAUCCAUCUUGCCUUAGAAAAUCAUCGACCCUUCUCGACAUAGAGCCGACCCCUCAAGCUCGCUACCCAUCGAGCACCACUACCUGGAAGCCUCCUCAGAAGCCACUAAACGACCAAGGUCAAAGCCUCAUUUUCAUUGUUCCAGGUCCAUCUCACAACUGAGUCAUCCCAUGAUCCACUGUGUACAUCCUUUAGUAGUCUCCACGAGACCAAAUUUCAAAUACGGACAACACCUUAUCUGCAUGCCUGAUCGUGUGCUCUACCUAUCUCACUCCAUUACUGUCCAUCUGUGGCUAGCACACUCAUCAAUCGUGGCCAACAUAGCACCAAACUUGUGGUCUUUCCAUCCGACCAAGAUCUAAUGGCUCAUCAUAACCAUUUGAUUCAUAUGACGGCCCAAGGCACACCUCGUCACCACAACUUUAACUAGACACAAAGCCCACAACAUAAGUCCAGGUCCAAUUAAAAUGUCAGCUUUCAUCUCAAACUUGAGACAAUCAAGGCUCAUCCUCAUCGUUGGAUUCAUCUGACAGCCCAUAUAUAUCAAUGCUUAAAAUAUCAAUUCAAACAAUUAACUUCUAUUCCGAUUGACUUAGUCAACACGAUACUAAUCCCGAGGCAUGCAAGCCUUUACUACUUGGUCAACUGCUGAGUCAACUGCUAGAAUUAAUUAUAUUAAUUCGGUUUUCCAACUCCCGACUUCUAUCUAUCGAGUAAGAUUUUAAUCAAACCAAAAUUUAAAAUGAACUGGAAUUCACGGUGUCACAUAUAUACUCGAUUAAUUUGAAGUACGAAUAUAUAUUUUCUUUGUAACACGUUUGAUUGGUUAGUUUUUUAUUAGAAAAACACAUGUUUGGUUCAUUUUAAUUCUUUUUAUGAAUUAUGAAUUAAUAUUCCAUAAAAUACCCAUGAACUUGUACGAAAGAGAGCAGUUUAUAAUAUAGGAUAUUUAGUUACAAGAUGUCCUAGACAGAGAUAACAGAUCAAACUCAUGGCUACAAUUUGUCAUGCAAAAAAAUGGGGUAAAAAUGUCCAACAAAAAAAACUAAAAAACGCACUACUAAAAAAUGUCCAACAAAAAACUAAAAAAUGGGGUAAAAAUAGCUACAAUUUCCUCAUUAUCACUAGGUCCAUCUCCUCCAUUCCUUCCUCCGCCUUAGUCAUUGUCGUCAUUAAAUUUACUUUCAUCUUUCUCUUCUUCUUUGACUAAUUUAUCAUCUUUUUCUUCUUCUUCUUCUUCACUCUCACUAGCUUACUUGUAAUCAUAUUCUUUAAGAUCAAUAUGGUCAGCAUCUUUUUCUUCUUUCUCAGCAACAAGUUUGUCUCCUCCAUCAUCUUUCUUCCCUUCUGUUUUUGAUAUUGCAGAUUCUCGUUCAACUUCUUCAGGGACAGUGUUGGCU
Molecule: long non-coding RNA, 7919 nt
Filed under: Linum usitatissimum (flax)
Lineage: Eukaryota; Viridiplantae; Streptophyta; Magnoliopsida; Malpighiales; Linaceae
Description: long non-coding RNA (LUSI_LNC005226)
Source: RNAcentral